RNAcentral lists this ribosomal RNA (484 nucleotides) under uncultured bacterium. Its description in RNAcentral is "partial 16S ribosomal RNA". It matches the Rfam family "Bacterial small subunit ribosomal RNA", at positions 28 to 507 of the family's 1533-position model. The record is from RNAcentral.
AUUGAACGCUGGCGGCAUGCUUUACACAUGCAAGUCGAACGGCAGCGCGGGCUUCAGCCUGGCGGCGAGUGGCGAACGGGUGAGUAAUGCAUCGGAACGUGCCCAGUAGUGGGGGAUAGCCCGGCGAAAGCCGGAUUAAUACCGCAUACGACCUGAGGGUGAAAGCGGGGGACCGAAAGGCCUCGCGCUAUUGGAGCGGCCGAUGUCGGAUUAGCUAGUUGGUGGGGUAAAGGCUUACCAAGGCGACGAUCCGUAGCUGGUCUGAGAGGACGACCAGCCACACUGGGGCUGAGACACGGCCCAGACUCCUACGGGAGGCAGCAGUGGGGAAUUUUGGACAAUGGGGGCAACCCUGAUCCAGCCAUGCCGCGUGCGGGAAGAAGGCCUUCGGGUUGUAAACCGCUUUUGUUCGGGAAGAAAUCCUCUGGGCUAAUACCCCGGGGGGAUGACGGUACCGGAAGAAUAAGCACCGGCUAACUACGUG